Molecule: long non-coding RNA, 677 nt
Organism: Hyaena hyaena (striped hyena)
Lineage: Eukaryota; Metazoa; Chordata; Mammalia; Carnivora; Hyaenidae
Exons: 5
Source: RefSeq, a predicted model, not a curated record
CUAGGGCUAUAGUUCUGUCCAGGGGAGUUGCCAGAGCAGAAACGAUGCCAGUCCCGUGAUUUCCCUGGAGGCUGAAAUGAGCGCUCAUGUCCAGAUGUUGUCCAGGUGUCUGAAUGCCUCCAUUGGGGUACCUCCGUUUCCAAUAGUCUAUAUUCCUCAAUUCCUGGACUGAGGUGUUAACAGUCUUCGUUGAAUGAAUUUCCACGAACGUCUUUUUUUGAUGAUCAUUGUGUGGAGAUAUCUUCAUUGAAACUGUGAGAAGCUCUGCCCAUGAUAAAGGACACAGCAGAACUUGAUCAUGGGAACACAAGUGAAGGAUACAGUGGGGACUUGCCACGCAGCCAUGUUCCCAUUGUGCCUGCAGCUGAUUCUUCCUUGCCUCCAGUUCAGUGUGUCUUUUUCAGCUUCCUAAGAUGGGAAUGAUAUAUACACAGUCAAGAUCAAGGUACAAAAAUUCUGCCUUUUUACAUCCCAGCUCUCUCGAAGGCCUAUGCAAAUAUGCCUUGCCCCACCUCUCCCAUAAAUGCACAAACUGACAACAUCAGAGAAAUGAAGCGAACACCACAUUUAAGUUACAGAAAAUUCUACCUCUGUCCUGCCACAUCUCUGCUUUCAGGGCUGUCUUUCUAGUCAUCUGCUUCUACUCUUUCAUCAUAAAGUCAUCAAAUAACAUUGCA